CAUUAUUGAAUAAACUUGCUUGGGUUGUUGCUGGUCCUUAGGGAUAUGUGCACACCUGACAUUAAAAUUAUAACCACUUGUGCACUUUUGUAGACCUUAGAUAUCUCUCGAGAAGAACUCGGUUCAAAGAUUGCAAUAAAAUCAAGCUUUCUUUACAUUUCUGGUCUAUGGUUUUUAUACAUACUCCUAACAAAAAUAUGGAAUGUUUGCCUUUAAAAUAAAUACAACUUUCAACAAUGGAUCUCUUGGCUCUUGCAUCGAUGAAGAACGCAGCGAAAUGCGAUAAGUAAUGUGAAUUGCAGAAUUCAGUGAAUCAUCGAAUCUUUGAACGCAUCUUGCGCUCUUUGGUACUCCGAAGAGCAUGCCUGUUUGAGUGUCAUGAAAUUAUCAACCUUUCUAGUAAAUGCUAGUCUGGCUUGGAUUUAUGGGAGUUGCAGGCUUCUUUAAAAGUCAGCUCUUCUUAAAUAUAUUAGCAGAACUCUUGCUAACAAUCCUUUGGUGUUGAUAAUUAUCUAUACCGAUUGGAGUUGGCUUUGUUUAGCUUUCUAAUAGUCUGUUCAGACAAUUUUUUGACAAUUUGACCU
RNAcentral lists this ribosomal RNA (584 nucleotides) under Entoloma ochreoprunuloides f. hyacinthinum. RNAcentral's name for it is "eukaryotic LSU rRNA". The stretch from base 226 to 379 matches the Rfam family "5.8S ribosomal RNA". The record is from RNAcentral. Lineage: Eukaryota; Fungi; Basidiomycota; Agaricomycetes; Agaricales; Entolomataceae.